Molecule: regulatory RNA element, 45 nt
Rfam family: Histone 3' UTR stem-loop
About the family: The mRNAs of metazoan histone genes lack a poly-A tail. 3' end processing occurs at a site between a highly conserved stem-loop (modelled by this family) and a purine rich region around 20 nts downstream (the histone downstream element, or HDE).
Source: Rfam
CAAAAGGUGUUUUUCAACACCACCCAUAUACAAAGAAUCUUACUU